Molecule: long non-coding RNA, 553 nt
Filed under: Solanum tuberosum (potato)
Lineage: Eukaryota; Viridiplantae; Streptophyta; Magnoliopsida; Solanales; Solanaceae
Description: long non-coding RNA (STUB_LNC011424)
Source: RNAcentral
AUAUAAACAAUUAUUGCGCAUCCUAUACAAUUAUGUGAUCCUUCUGUGCCAAGGGUAGACUUAUCGAUCUGAAGAAUGUAUUACGUCAUUUGACAACAUUGUCCCAAAAUCUGAAUUUAUACAAACUUUAUGAAUAAAACUGAAUGAGGAUACAUAAUAAGAAAAAGAGGAUACAAAUAAUCAGUCUCACGCAAGGGUACAAUCCUAAGUUAUGCCUCCAUGGUCGGUCCUUUUGUUUGAUUUCUUCUCAUCUUUAACUGACAACGUCUUCAGAUGCAAUUGUACUUUGAUCCUACUUUGACUCAAACAAACUCUUAAACUCCUUACUCGAAGGGACAUUAUUUUGCCAAAUGACGUAUACAUCCUACAAAUUUAACACAUAUAUAUGAUUGUCUUUUAUUGACCAAUUGGCCAAAUAGACACGAGGUAGACUUCUAAUGGGCCUAACACGCCUUGGGUGUUAGGUCGACUUAGUUCAAAAUACGCAAGAAAUCGGGAUUUGGUUUCUCUCUACGCUAGUUGACUAAGAGUGGCUUUUGAAAAACCGGAAACC